CUAUCUCUCCCACUCUUCAUUUUUUUCAUUUUCAUUAUCUAUCUUAUCCGCCCUCUCUCUCUCUCUCUCUCUCUCUCUCUUUCUCAUUCUCUCUCUUUCUCUCUUCUUCCUUUUCCCACCUACAGGGCUCUUGCUCUUCGUACACGGCCAGACGGAUUCGUGAUUCUGGGGCGGCUCUCCGUAAUGCAACCGAAUUCAUCGAGAGAAAGGAAUAAACUCUCCACAACGCAUAAUAUCGAGGUCUCUACAAUGAUGAACGAAGGAGAGGACCCGAAAGGAGGAGGAAUGGUUAUCUUUUGGAAUGAAUCGGAUCAAGUCAGAAGAAUGGAAUACAGAAGAGAGAAAGAAAGAGAGAGAGAGAGAGAGAGAGAGAGAGAGAGAGAGAGAGAGAGAGAGAGAGAGAGAGAGAGAGAGAGAUAGAAAGGAAAGAGAAGGAGGAGAGAGAGAGAGAGAGAGAGAAAUAAAGAAAAAAAGAAAGAGAUAGAGGUAGAGAAAGAGACAGACAUCCCUCCGACGAGAGCGUACAUCGUUAAUGGAAAUAGACGUUAUCAGCUCUAUACUUGAUGACACUAACCCGUAGAUCCGAACUUGUGGGCUUUUUUAUAUGCAUACCGCAAGCUCCUAUCUACCGGUACAUGUAGUCAGGCCGGCGUUAAAAGCUCUCGGACGGAGAUCCUCUUCCUCCUCCCGCCCCGCAACCCCCCACUCUCUCUCUCUGUGACCUCCCAAAUAAUACUUACAGCACUUCCGGUUUAAGAGACGCCUAACUCUUCUUGUCAAGUUAUUUCCUCGAAAGAGAGAGAGAGAGACAGAGAGAAAGAGAGAA
Long non-coding RNA from Vespa velutina, 826 nucleotides. RefSeq lists it as uncharacterized. The transcript is spliced from 2 exons. The record is from RefSeq and is a predicted model, not a curated record. Lineage: Eukaryota; Metazoa; Arthropoda; Insecta; Hymenoptera; Vespidae.